CCUCCUCCUCUUCCUCCUCUUCCUCACAUCUCUUCUUCUUCCUCCUCCUUCCCCCUUCCCCUCCUCUUCCUCCAAAUAGGUUUUUAUGUAUCCCAAGCUUGUCUAAAACUUUCUAUGAGCCAUCCAAGUGCUGGGAGUACAGCUGUGCACCAUCUCAGCCAGUUUAUAUGGUGCUAGGGGUCAAGCCAUGGCCUUCUGCAUGCUGGGCGAGCACUACCCACUAGCCACAUUUUCAGUCUUCUCAAGUGCUUCUUCUCCCGACAGAAACCCACAUUGCUUUCUUACCCAGAGUCCUUGGGACCUGGCUCAGAGUUUCUUUCCUGCAGCUGUUUCCACCUGCCCCACCUCUCCCACUCUUGGGGUUCUUCCUGUAGGGGACACAUAAAAUAAAUGUUUCCACUUCUCCCGUUUCCUCUGCUACAAAGAGCCCCUUCCAUCUUCAGAAUUACGGUGCAGUAAAUGAAACAACGGAGCACACGCUGCAAAACUGUAAAUAUUAUGAAGAUUUUGGUUAAUUUUUCCAAUGCCUGUUGUUUAUUGAAAUAUAAACAAAAUCAGACUUGUUAUGUUUCGUUCCCCCCUCUGUUCUUUGACGGUAUUAGGGAGGGUUCUCUGCCUUUCUGUUGUUUUUGUUUUUCAGACCUUAAGUUCACUAAAAGCCUCUAUAUCCGAUAAAAGCCCCCAAACUCCACAUCUGAUUUUCUUCUCAGAGGUCCUGAGAAUUUCACCAAGGCAAAUGUAUCAAUGCAUGUAUUGAUUUGCAUAUGUAUGUGUGUACACACACAUGUUCCAGUUAUAGGCAUUCAGCUGCUUUCAGACUCUCAGAGGAAGUCGUUUAUGUAAUCUUAAACUUCUCACCUCCCUCAUAGGUCCCUGCUGCUGUCUGCUGAAAAUGAUAACAUGUAGAAAGAUGAAAUAAAUAUAGAGUUAAAACAUUAGCCAAUGGGAUACAGUUUUUUAAACUUAUUCAACUUGUGCUGAGAUAAUGACCAGCAGCGGUUAAAUUAGAAGAACUGAGAGAGAGUGAAGACAGAAAUAAAUAACAAAAGUGGUAAACUGAUCAGUAGUUACAGUGCUUUCUCAAAAGGCUUCUGAGUCUCAACAUGAAUAUUCAAUACCAUAAAAUAAAACUUACAGGACCAACGGUACUGUUGCUCUAGCUACAGGAAUAAUCCUGGGCAGCACUUGUUGACCUUGGUCACUGUCAAGGGAAGAUCGGCUGUUCCCACUGAGGGCAUCUUGAUGGAUUAAGGUGAUCAGCUGAUCAAUGUGAGGGGACAGAUGGGAGCUAGGAACUGUCUCGGUACUGAGUCAUUUUUCAUCUAAUGUGCAAGAAACCCAAAGAGCACAUCAAACAGCGAACUACGCCUAAGCUAUCCAUGUUUCUCCUGCUUCUUCUGAGAGGGUGAUUUACACGUAGCUCAACACUCGAGUGUUGCAGUAUCGAGUGACUGCAACCAAACAAUGGAACAUGCAUCGUGCCUGUUGACAGAGCCUGCAGUUGGCUUGGAACCGGGACCAUGCUGCAUUCGACAUCGUUCCUGGUGGCUGACUUGUUCCCAUAGAAUUAAAUGCUAGGCAUCCAGAAGCUGACUGUGCAUCUGAUGGGCUCACUAACAUUCAGGAACAGGUUGGCCUCAGACUUCAUCAAUGGAAAGAGCCACCUAGAACAUGGAUGCAAGCUGGAACUUUGACGUUGUCUUGGGGAUAAAAGUUAAACAAAGAAGUGGAUUCUUCAGUCCUGACGCGUAAGUCACUGAGAGGAUGAGCUCGUUCCCUCUCCUGAAAGACAUCUUCCUGUUACAGCAGCCAGCUUUGCCAGCUCCCUGAACGUUCUGCUGCCUCCUUGCCCAGAACAGUAAGUACCUGCUUCGUGCUAAGGCCCAAGGGAGGGACCCCAGUCACCUGUGUGCUCCCUGAAGAGAGUCCAUGUUUUCCCAGGUUACUUACUUCUCUGGAAAGUCAGACGCAGAGCUGGCCAACCCCUGGCUCCCUGCUGCACCAGCACCAUGAGAAGGCAUGCCUACUGUGUAUUUGUCAGAGGCAUUGUUUACUUAAAGACCUUUUCCUUAAGAAAGAGUCACUAUCUUUUAAUAAGUUCAAAGAGCUGUCUAAUGCUAAUGCUAUUUCCUUCUUGGUUAUUCUUGCACAGAUAUUCUGUGAGUUAGUUGUGUGCCCGUGCCAACAAACUAUAAUCUUCUCUUUCUCCCCCUGCCCUCUGUCCAUGUACGUACACACACACACACACACA
Molecule: long non-coding RNA, 2251 nt
Organism: Mus musculus (house mouse)
Lineage: Eukaryota; Metazoa; Chordata; Mammalia; Rodentia; Muridae
Product: predicted gene, 40040
Exons: 5
Source: RefSeq, a predicted model, not a curated record